UCUCGGAUAGCUUAAGGGAAGAGCAGUUGGUGCGAUACCAAAAGAUCCAGGUUCGAUUCCUGGUCUGGGUCGUCCGAA
Molecule: transfer RNA, 78 nt
Filed under: Cotesia glomerata
Lineage: Eukaryota; Metazoa; Arthropoda; Insecta; Hymenoptera; Braconidae
Description: tRNA-Ser
Rfam family: tRNA
About the family: Transfer RNA (tRNA) molecules are approximately 80 nucleotides in length. Their secondary structure includes four short double-helical elements and three loops (D, anti-codon, and T loops). Further hydrogen bonds mediate the characteristic L-shaped molecular structure. tRNAs have two regions of fundamental functional importance: the anti-codon, which is responsible for specific mRNA codon recognition, and the 3' end, to which the tRNAs corresponding amino acid is attached (by aminoacyl-tRNA synthetases). tRNAs cope with the degeneracy of the genetic code in two manners: having more than one tRNA (with a specific anti-codon) for a particular amino acid; and 'wobble' base-pairing, i.e. permitting non-standard base-pairing at the 3rd anti-codon position.
Source: RNAcentral